UCGAGAAUUUUUCACAAUGGGCGCAAGCCUGAUGGAGCGACGCCGCGUGGGGGAUGAAUGGCUUCGGCCCGUAAACCCCCGUCAUUUGCGAUCAACCGUUGUUGUUAAGAGAUGACAACCUGAUAGUAGCGAAAGAGGAAGGGACGGCUAACUCUGUGCCAGCAGCCGCGGUAAUACAGAGGUCCCAAGCGUUGUUCGGAUUCACUGGGCGUAAAGGGUGCGUAGGUGGCAAGGUAAGUCGGAUGUGAAAUCUCCGAGCUCAACUCGGAAAUGGCAUUGGAAACUGCUUUGCUCGAGGGUUGGAGGGGGGACUGGAAUACUUGGUGUAGCAGUGAGAUGCGGAGAUAUCAAGUGGAACACCAGUGGCGAAGGCGAGUCCCUGGACAACUCCUGACACUGAGGCACGAAAGCUAGGGGGGCAAACA
This 425-nucleotide ribosomal RNA is filed under the name uncultured prokaryote. Its description in RNAcentral is "bacterial SSU rRNA". It matches the Rfam family "Bacterial small subunit ribosomal RNA", at positions 355 to 774 of the family's 1533-position model. The record is from RNAcentral.